AGAGUUUGAUCAUGGCUCAGAACGAACGCUGGCGGCGCGUCUUAAACAUGCAAGUCGAACGAGAACCCUGGUGCUUGCAUUGGGGGGAAAGUGGCGAACGGGUGAGUAACACGUGGAUAAUCUGCCUCUGGGAUGGGGACAACUCCGGGAAACCGGGGCUAAUACCGAAUAAGAUGGUAGUUGCAUACGCAGCAGCCAUUAAAGGUGGGGACCGCAAGGCCUACUGCCUAGAGAUGAGUCCGCGGCCCAUUAGCUUGUUGGCGGGGUAAAGGCCCACCAAGGCAAUGAUGGGUAGCCGGCCUGAGAGGGUGAACGGCCACACUGGGACUGAGAUACGGCCCAGACUCCUACGGGAGGCAGCAGUUGAGAAUCUUGCUCAAUGGGCGAAAGCCUGAAACAGCGACGCCGCGUGGACGAUGAAGGUCUUCGGAUUGUAAAGUCCACUAAGCAGGGAUGAAUAAGCAACGGGGAAUAUUCGUUGUGAUGACUGUACCUGCCUAAAGCCUCGGCUCACUACGUGCCAGCAGCCGCGGUAAGACGUAUGAGGCAAGCGUUGUUCGGAAUUAUUGGGCGUAAAGGGCGUGUAGGCGGGGAACUAAGUUAGAUGUGAAAUCCAUGGGCUUAACCCAUGAACUGCAUUUAAUACUGGUUCUCUUGAGUUCGGGAGAGGUAAGCGGAAUUCCCGGUGUAGCGGUGAAAUGCGUAGAUAUCGGGAAGAACACCAGUGGCGAAGGCGGCUUACUGGCCUAGAACUGACGCUAAGGCGCGAAAGCGUGGGGAGCGAACGGGAUUAGAUACCCUGGUAGUCC
RNAcentral lists this ribosomal RNA (809 nucleotides) under uncultured bacterium. RNAcentral describes it as "bacterial SSU rRNA". It matches the Rfam family "Bacterial small subunit ribosomal RNA", at positions 8 to 796 of the family's 1533-position model. The record is from RNAcentral.